Long non-coding RNA from Myxocyprinus asiaticus (Chinese sucker), 1046 nucleotides. RefSeq lists it as uncharacterized. The record is from RefSeq and is a predicted model, not a curated record. Lineage: Eukaryota; Metazoa; Chordata; Actinopteri; Cypriniformes; Catostomidae. The transcript is spliced from 3 exons.
AGGACCUUUACCUGCAGUUCCAGGAUGAGCUGUUGAAGGUUCCGGAUCACUUCCACGUUCUCCUUUAGCUCCUGGUCCUCUAGAGUCUCCACCAUCUUCUACCCUGCGAGAUCCACCAAAUGCAGUUUGGAGACCAUGACAUCACUCCUUCACAAACAGAAACAUGGGAGAAAUACAGGACGCUACCAGAGCUGGCCAGAUCCAGCUCAGUUCCUGCUUGGUGUCGGACUCCACUGCUAUGUGACACUGAGUGAUGACGACAAACUACAGCUGGUGCUAGCCAGACAUCACUUCAGUCUUUUACAAUGGACUCCAGAGGAUGAACUGGUGCCAACUCCAACUGUAAGACAUUGUAUACUUCAUACGCCACUGCCUGAACCUUGGACUUAUGAUGGACCCCACCGAACCUCACCGAAAUGACCUGCCGGUUUAACUGCGAUGCACAUCAUUGAUCUCUGCCUGCAUCACCUUUGUCUAUUGAUGGUCUACACUUUUGAAAUGGAAUAUAUAGACUAUCAUUUAAUUGCCAACAAAAGCCUUCAUCAACCAACUAACAAAGGACAAUGCAUCUAUGUGAACUUCUGCAGUUAAUCCAGGAUGAACUUCAAAGACAUUAGUCAUUAAUCUUAAUGUUCAUAAAAAAUAUUUUUUUAAACACUGGACUUUAACACUUACUUAGUUUACAAAUUUUAAACCAUGACUUGCACUGCACAUAAUUAAGUAAUAUUGGCAUUAUAUUCAUGAUGUUUUGCCAGAGGGGAACUGGCCCCCACAGUGAGCCUGGUUUCUCCCAAGGUUAUUUUUCUCCAUUAACCAACAUCUUAUGGAAUUUUGUGUUCCUUGUCACAGUCGCCUUCAGCUUACUCACAGGGGUUCUAAAUACAAUUAUUUAAUUUUUAUAAACAAUUUACAAUCAUAUUAAUAUCAAACUACACUAUGAUCAUUCUAAGACUUUUUAGAUAUUACAGUUUCAUUUUUUUGUUAAUGCAUUACAUUUACUGAAAAGCUGCAUUGAAACAAUGUGUGUUGUGAAAAGCGCUAUACAA